AAGAUCUCUUGGAUUUUUGGAUUUAGCGCUCCUUGUUUUCUGAUCAUUUUCUAAGUAUAUGUUUCGUCUUAUAAUAAAUUAUGGCGAUGCUAGGAAUUUCUGUCUUGAUCGUUCUCUGUAUGAGUUGCAUCACCAUUUGUGCAGGAAGUACAGAUUGUGACAGUGGACAUCAUCUAUACCAUUUCAUUCACCUACCGGAUGGUGCCAACCUCUCCAGCGUUAUUACUACGAGUUUGGAUACCGAGCAUGUACACUUUUUGUUCACGUCAGGUAUUUCGAAUGGCGAUUUAAUUGACAUUAAAUUUGAGGAGAAAUCUCAAUAUGUAUUCACGGUUACCGGUAAAGUUGAAAGUGGACCGUUUGAAGUCAGUAAACCGCUUGAUGAGAUCGAAAUACUAUAUGG
This is a long non-coding RNA of Anneissia japonica, 403 nucleotides long. RefSeq lists it as uncharacterized. The transcript has 3 exons. NCBI's taxonomy places the organism in Eukaryota, Metazoa, Echinodermata, Crinoidea, Comatulida, Comatulidae. The record is from RefSeq and is a predicted model, not a curated record.